Molecule: ribosomal RNA, 253 nt
Filed under: uncultured prokaryote
Description: partial 16S ribosomal RNA
Rfam family: Bacterial small subunit ribosomal RNA
Source: RNAcentral
ACGUAGGGUGCAGGCGUUAAUCGGAAUUACUGGGCGUAAAGGGCGCGUAGGCGGCACGGCAAGUCGGGAGUGAAAGCCCGGGGCUCAACCCCGGAGGGUCUUCCGAAACUGCCGAGCUAGAGUGCGGAAGAGGCAACCGGAAUUCCCAGUGUAGCGGUGAAAUGCGUAGAUAUCGGGAGGAACGCCUGAGGCGAAGGCGGGCUACUGGGCUGAUACUGACGCUGAGGCGCGAAAGCUAGGGGAGCAAACGGGA